Molecule: unclassified non-coding RNA, 404 nt
Filed under: soil metagenome
Description: partial contains 5.8S ribosomal RNA, internal transcribed spacer 2, and large subunit ribosomal RNA
Rfam family: 5.8S ribosomal RNA (bases 1-121)
Source: RNAcentral
GAUGAAGAACGUAGCAAAAUGCGAUAAGUAGUGUGAAUUGCAGAAUUCAGUGAAUCAUCGAAUCUUUGAACGCACCUUGCGCCCUUUGGCUAUUCCGAAGGGCAUGCCUGUUUGAGUAUCAUGAACACCUCAACUCUCAUGGUUUGCCAUGAUGAGCUUGGACUUUGGGGGUCUUGCCGGCCUAUGGGUCGGCUCCUCUCAAAUUAAUCAGCUUGCCAGUGUUUGGUGGCAUCACAGGUGUGAUAACUAUCUACGCUUGUGGUUUUCCAUCAGGUAACCUUCAGUGAUGGAGGUUCGCUGGGGCUCAUAAAUGUCUCUCCUCAGUGAGGACAGCUUUUUUGAACGUUUGAUCUCAAAUCAGGUAGGACUACCCGCUGAACUUAAGCAUAUCAAUAAGCGGAGGA